This 416-nucleotide ribosomal RNA is filed under the name uncultured Gammaproteobacteria bacterium. Its description in RNAcentral is "bacterial SSU rRNA". It matches the Rfam family "Bacterial small subunit ribosomal RNA", at positions 9 to 429 of the family's 1533-position model. Lineage: Bacteria; Pseudomonadati; Pseudomonadota; Gammaproteobacteria. The record is from RNAcentral.
GAGUUUGAUCUUGGCUCAGAGUGAACGCUGGCGGCAGGCCUAACACAUGCAAGUCGAGCGGCAGCGCGGGGGCAACCCUGGCGGCGAGCGGCGGACGGGUGAGGAAUACAUCGGAAUCUACCCAGUCGUGGGGGAUAACGUAGGGAAACUUACGCUAAUACCGCAUACGACCUGAGGGUGAAAGCAGGGGACCGCAAGGCCUUGCGCGAUUGGAUGAGCCGAUGUCCGAUUAGCUAGUUGGUGAGGUAAAGGCUCACCAAGGCGACGAUCGGUAGCUGGUCUGAGAGGAUGAUCAGCCACACUGGAACUGAGACACGGUCCAGACUCCUACGGGAGGCAGCAGUGGGGAAUAUUGGACAAUGGGCGCAAGCCUGAUCCAGCCAUGCCGCGUGUGUGAAGAAGGCCUCGGUUGUAAG